GGAUUAGGCAUGCAAGUCGAACGAGGAUAUAUCCUUCGGGAUAUAAGCCGAGUGGCGCAAGGGUGAGUAAUGCAUAGAUUACCUGCCUCUAGGAUAAGGACAACUUUGUGAAAACGAAGCUAAUACUUAAUAAUACAAAAGAAAAUAAUUUUUUUUGUCAAUGGGAGGGUAGCAAUACCUUUUGCCUAGAGAGGGGUUUAUGUCCUAUCAGCUUGUUGGUGGGGUAAUGGCCUACCAAGGCGAAGACGGGUAGCCGGUCUUAGAGGAUGGUCGGCCACACUGGGACUGAGACACUGCCCAGACUUCUACGGAAGGCUGCAGUCGAGAAUCUUUCGCAAUGCCCGAAAGGGUGACGAAGCGACGCCGCGUGAGUGAGGAAGGCCUUAGGGUUGUAAAGCUCUGUCAGGAGUUAAGAAAUAUAAGUGUGCUAAUACCACAUUUAUUUGACGAAGGCUCCAAAGGAAGCCACGGCUAACUCUGUGCCAGCAGCCGCGGUAAUACAGAGGUGGCAAGCGUUGUUCGGAAUUAUUGGGCGUAAAGAGCACGUAGGUGGGUUUGUAAGUCAGAUGUGAAAGCCUUCUGUUCAACGGAAGAAUUGCAUCUGAAACUGCAAGUCUUGAGUGUAGGAGRKGAGAAUGGAACUUCUGGUGGAGCGGUGAAAUGCGUAGAUAUCAGAAGGAACGCCGGCGGCGAAAGCGAUUCUCUGGCCUAUUACUGACACUCAGUGUGCGAAAGCUAGGGGAGCAAACGGGAUUAGAUACCCCGGUAGUCCUAGCCGUAAACGAUGGGCACUAAGUAGAGGGAAUUACCGAUGUUCUCUCUGCCGUAGCUAACGCAUUAAGUGCCCCGCCUGGGGAGUACGGCCGCAAGGCUAAAACUCAAAAGAAUUGACGGGGGCUCGCACAAGCGGUGGAGCAUGUGGCUUAAUUCGAUGCAACGCGAAAAACCUUACCGGGGCUUGACAUGGUAGAAGUAGGAACCCGAAAGGGUAACGAACGGUAUCCAGUCCGUAGCUAUCACAGGUGUUGCAUGGCUGUCGUCAGCUCGUGUCGUGAGACGUUGGGUUAAGUCCCCUAACGAGCGAAACCCUUGUUUUUAGUUACCAGCGGGUUAUGCCGGGUACUCUAGAAAGACUGCCGUCGUCAAGACGGAGGAAGGUGGGGAUGACGUCAAGUCAUCAUGGCCCUUAUGCCCCGGGCUGCACACGUGCUACAAUGGUCGGUACAAACGGAAGCGAAGCCGAGAGGUGAAGCGAAUCCUAAAAAGCCGAUCUCAGUUCGGAUUGGAGGCUGAAAUUCGCCUCCAUGAAGUUGGAAUCGCUAGUAAUCGCGGAUCAGCAAUGCCGCGGUGAAUAUGUUCCCGAGCCUUGUACACACCGCCCGU
RNAcentral lists this ribosomal RNA (1383 nucleotides) under uncultured Planctomycetota bacterium. RNAcentral describes it as "bacterial SSU rRNA". It matches the Rfam family "Bacterial small subunit ribosomal RNA", at positions 46 to 1397 of the family's 1533-position model. The record is from RNAcentral. Lineage: Bacteria; Pseudomonadati; Planctomycetota.